CCUCAUUUGGUUUUUAAUUUCUUCAUUUCUGAAAUAUGUCUCUCUCUGGAUAUGUGCAUGUGUUCCUGCUUUGCUUUUUUGAUUGUCCCAUCAUGUCUGAGCAAGGGGAGAGAAGUGUCCAGGUGGGCAUUCUCAAUUUUACCUGUGCCUUCCUCCUGGCAGCCUUCACCCAUGAACAGUCAACUGUGCCACACAUUGGGCCACCUGUGACCAUGCACCAGACCACAGCCACCUCCUCCAUCAGCAGCACCUUCAGGACCUCUGUCUCCACAGAAGUGCCUCUGGAAACCUCUCCAAAUCCCAGCUCUCUGCCUGCCCCCAGCAGCCCGCUCAGCACCCGGCUGCCAUCCACUGCCACGUCUCCAUUCUCUUCUGCUUUGGCCUCAACCGUCAGUACAACAUCCGUGCCUACAUCUCUGACUACUUCCACAUUUAGGUCUACUGAGAGCACGACACAUCCUUACUUCCAAAACACCACAUCGACUCCACACGGCAAAACAUCUUCAUUCGCUGUCCCUACCAGUAUCUCUGCCCAGUCUAGGCCAGCGUUGAUCCCAACUGUUUUGUCUACAACUAUUACCUUUGCUCCCCAUGUUAUCACAACGGCUUCUACAGAGUCAGUUGAACAGAGUUCCCUGCGAACAACAACACUGACCACUGCCCGCACGACAUCAUCUCCUCCUCUCACCUCUGGACUUUCAACAUCCCUGUCCUCUGUUGUGCCAUCAACAGUGCCGCACGAGCAUUGUAGAGAAGUUGAAUAUGAAGAAGAAAUAACUUACAAAGGCUGUUCCACAAAUGUCACUUUGAGCCGUUGUGAAGGAUCAUGUUCCUCUUCAACAAAGUAA
Zonotrichia albicollis (white-throated sparrow) is the source of this 848-nucleotide long non-coding RNA. The record is from Ensembl. NCBI's taxonomy places the organism in Eukaryota, Metazoa, Chordata, Aves, Passeriformes, Passerellidae.